This 439-nucleotide ribosomal RNA is filed under the name uncultured bacterium. RNAcentral describes it as "partial 16S ribosomal RNA". It matches the Rfam family "Bacterial small subunit ribosomal RNA", at positions 338 to 795 of the family's 1533-position model. The record is from RNAcentral.
CCUACGGGUGGCUGCAGUGGGGGAUAUUGCACAAUGGAGGAAACUCUGAUGCAGCGACGCCGCGUGAGGGAAGACGGUCUUCGGAUUGUAAACCUCUGUCUUUGGGGAAGAAAAUGACGGUACCCAAAGAGGAAGCUCCGGCUAACUACGUGCCAGCAGCCGCGGUAAUACGUAGGGAGCGAGCGUUGUCCGGAUUUAUUGGGUUUAAAGGGUGCGCAGGCGGCCUGUUAAGUCAGCGGUAAAAGCCCGGGGCUCAACCCCGGCGAGCCGUUGAAACUGGCGGGCUGGAGUUGGAGAGAAGUACGCGGAAUGCGCGGUGUAGCGGUGAAAUGCUUAGAUAUCGCGCAGAACCCCGAUUGCGAAGGCAGCGUACCGGCUCCACACUGACGCUGAGGCACGAAAGCGUGGGUAUCGAACAGGAUUAGAUACCCCAGUAGUC